Molecule: ribosomal RNA, 445 nt
Filed under: uncultured bacterium
Lineage: Bacteria
Description: partial 16S ribosomal RNA
Rfam family: Bacterial small subunit ribosomal RNA
Source: RNAcentral
GUGAGGAAUAUUGGUCAAUGGGCGGAAGCCUGAACCAGCCAUGCCGCGUGAAGGAUGAAGGUUCUAUGGAUUGUAAACUUCUUUUAUUUGGGAAUAAACCCUCUGACGUGUUGGAGGCUGAAGGUACCAAAUGAAUAAGCACCGGCUAACUCCGUGCCAGCAGCCGCGGUAAUACGGAGGGUGCAAGCGUUAUCCGGAAUCAUUAGGUUUAAAGGGUCCGCAGGCGGAUUUAUAAGUCAGUGGUGAAAGCCUACAGCUCAACUGUAGAACUGCCAUUGAUACUGUAAGUCUUGAAUUCGGUCGAAGUGGGCGGAAUAUGACAUGUAGCGGUGAAAUGCAUAGAUAUGUCAUAGAACACCGAUAGCGAAGGCAGCUCACUAGGCCUGAAUUGACGCUCAUGGACGAAAGCGUGGGGAGCAAACAGGAUUAGAUACCCUAGUAGUCC